This 958-nucleotide unclassified non-coding RNA is filed under the name Hevea brasiliensis (rubber tree). The record is from RNAcentral. Lineage: Eukaryota; Viridiplantae; Streptophyta; Magnoliopsida; Malpighiales; Euphorbiaceae.
AAGGAAGUCAAGGAAGCAUGCUUGUGAGAUGAAAAUUUUGAAUGCUAGUGCCCUUCUUGUGGAACCUCUGGAAAGUCGAAAAUUUUCAAGGUUUUCGUUGCAGUACGCAGAAACAGAGGACAAACCUUUUGACGAUGCAAACUGGGAACCUAGAUUUUCUGGGCAUCAAAGUAUGGAAGAACGGGAAGAAUCUUUUCUUGCACGCAAUCAAAAAAUAAACUGUGGUUUUGUUCGAGGCCCUGAAGAAACUCCAAGUACCGGAUUUGACUUGGCAGAAGAUGACGCAAAAUACAUUAGCAGUUGUCACAUUGCUGUAGCUUCAUGCAUCUUCGGAAAUUCGGAUCGCUUGAGAAUACCAGUGGGCAAAAUGGUCUCCCGUAUAUCAAAGAAAAAUGUUUGCUUCGUUAUGUUUGUGGAUGAAGUUACUCUAAAAACUCUUACAGCUGAAGGUAAGAUGCCAGACAGCAUGGGCUUUGUAGGUUUAUGGAAGAUCGUAGUUGUAAAGAAUCUUCCAUUUUCUGAUAUGCGGAGAGUGGGAAAGAUACCAAAGUUAUUGUCUCAUCGACUCUUUACUUCAGCCAGGUAUUCAAUAUGGUUAGAUAGCAAGCUUCGGCUGCAGCUUGAUCCCCUACUCAUAUUGGAGUACUUUCUGUGGCGUAAAGGUUAUGAAUAUGCAAUUUCCAAUCACUAUGACAGGCAUUGUGUGUGGGAAGAAGUAGCCCAAAACAAGAAACUUAACAAGUACAAUCAUACUGUCAUAGAUGAACAAUUUGCAUUUUACCAGGCUGAUGGAUUGCAAAGAUUUAAUGCAUCUGAUCCAAACAAGCUUCUUCACAGCAAUGUACCAGAAGGAUCUUUUAUUGUGAGGGCUCACACACCAAUGUCAAACUUGUUUUCUUGUUUAUGGUUCAAUGAGGUUGACCGGUUUACUCCCCGUGAUCAACUGAGUUUUGCAUAU